CACCAACGAUUGGCUUCAAAACAGCGCUUCAGAAACAGAUGUGUGACGUCACGGAUACGAAGUCCAUUAUUUAUACAGCCAAUGCUUUAGUCUUGUCUUGGACAUGUACCAUCUUUUUUUAAAGGCCUCUCACAAUGACCCCACAUUUUCUUAAUCUAAUUUAAGACUUUUCAAGGAUUUUUAGGAGUCCUGCCUACCCUCUAACUUUGUCUCAGAUUCCACACUGAAAAGUUUGUUUUGUAACACCACCCUUCCUAUAUCUGUAGUAUUUUACCUUGAAGAAGGGAACGCGUUUGCUUUCGUUGAAGACGAGGUUCUCAUCAAUGAAGGACGGCUCUGUGGCCAAGCUUUCAUUACAUGUACUCAGCUCGUCAUCGAGAGAGUCCUGCAGACAAAAAGGAACAAAGAGAAGAUGGAGCACAAAUUAACAAGGGUGUCAACCCAAUAGGAAGUAAAUAACUGUGCUCUAUCUGCCGUCCAAUCAGGGAGAUAAAAACGUACAUGAUCGACUUGACUGAGCUUGUCUUCCUCCUCUUCCUCUUCCUCUUCCUCUUCUUCCACAGCUGCCCGCAGCUCUUCUUGUUGCCUCCUCAGGCUCUCCAGCAGCUCAAUGCGGCUCUGGGAUUUCACCAGCUUCUUGGGAUACACAAACUCCCGACGCUGAGGGGUGGCACCUGAAGGCAACAGAGAAUUUAGUUUGUGAUACGGACAGAAAAACCAACAACUCAGUGGCUGAUCUUCAACAAAAAAAACACCCAGUUCAAAUCACGUACCAGUAGAAACAUCCUGCUGCAGCUCUUUCUGCAGGAAGCCGUUCACCAGCCCUUGGCUCGUCUCCACAUGGUCCUGCAGCUCAGUCUGCUGCUGGUCCAAGACAGUCCGGUUCAGGGAGGUCUGGUUCUGCAUGGCCAUCACAGCCUGCUUCAUCUCCUCCUGCUGACCGGACAGCUGCUGCUCGGCUGUCUGGAGCUGCUCAGUGCAGCGCUUCUCGACACUCUGGAGGGCAAAAUAAGAGAAAGGAUUAAAUAAAAUCAGAGGAAUUUCAACCUGAUGACACAUUUGUCACCAGAUAUAAUGAAGCAACAUGUUUAUUAUUCUACAUUCAACUGUAGAGGGUUGUUUUACCUGACGCAGUGCCUGAGCUUCAGUAGAAACUGUCCCCAUUAGAGAUAGGUGUUGCUCGGCUGUAGUCUCUGCCUGCUCCCUGGUUCUGGAGCUCCACUGAAGGUCACGAUCGGCCAAACCUGCACCAAAAACCAUGUUCACUGACUGUACUGUAGAUGUUCAAGGUUUAGAAAACAACUUCAAAAAGGUGAAUUUGGUACCUGACACGGCACCGUGCAGGUGAGAGCAGCAGCCCGUCAUCUCGUCCAGGGUCUGCAGGCUCUCGUCGGUGGUCUGACGCAGAGAGGAGGCCAGGGAAGAGGAGGUGGAGGAGAGGAGGUCUGCCUGGGCGGAAGCCCGACACUCCACUGUACUGCAACUACUACACACAGGAGACAAUGUGGAAAAUCAUACAAGAUUUAAGACUUCAGGAUUUGUUGUAUAUAGGACUGACCACACUUUUUCUUUUUUUGCAACCUGCAGCUGAGUGUUUGUAUCUCUGUCUUUGACUCACCUGCUAAUGUUCUCCUGGAGGGUCUGUAGAGGUUUCUGCAGAGCUUUGGAGGACGAGCGCAGAUCAGUGAAGUCCUUCUGAACCUCCAUGGAGAGCAGGUUAAGCUGGUCCUGCAAACACUGGAUGGUCUGCUUCAUACCCUGUUGCAUACAAGAACGAAAGGAUGUUAGUUUCAAUAAUUAAUUUCAAAGAUGGACAAAAAGAAACCAUAGACAUGGAAAUGCAUCAUGGAGCUGAAUAAUGGAUCCAACUAUCAAACACAUUUGAUUAGCGGACUCCUUCUUUGUUGGGAUUGUGUUUGUUGACUGCCAGACAGUGAAAUUAAAUAUCAUCAUUCGUUUUUUAUUAGCAAGUGGUGAUGAUAACAGAUAUUAAAGUUUCAGCCCAUCCAUUGUUAUGUAGAAUAUUGAAGACAUUUUAAUCAACGCACAAGAUACAGAAAACAAAGCUUGACUUUACUAGAUAUCACAUGUUUUGUCUUGUAAAACCAGCUCUGACUCCUUGUUUAUGACACUCUAAGCACUGUUUGCAGAACAUAGAGCUUCACAGCAGAACCAACAAUAGCUGGUACUGGAAUCAACUGACGAAUGGAAAUGCAUAACGUACUUUAAAUCAAUUUUGUGUUAAAUAAAAGUGCAUUCCUUGGAACUUAGCCAAGUCACAUUGUAGCACAAACCAAAUACAAAAUGUUUACUUUGAAUAGCCUUAAAAAUAAAAAACAAAAUCACAACAUCA
This is a long non-coding RNA of Notolabrus celidotus (New Zealand spotty), 2353 nucleotides long. RefSeq lists it as uncharacterized. NCBI's taxonomy places the organism in Eukaryota, Metazoa, Chordata, Actinopteri, Labriformes, Labridae. The record is from RefSeq and is a predicted model, not a curated record. The transcript has 2 exons.